AGAAUUCUAAUCCUCGGUAUGGCAUCAAUCCCCAGUUUUGGAUGCGCUCCACUCCUGGCCACUUGGUUUAUCCCUAAAUGAGGAUGGAAUUGACCACCUAACUUGGACGGGACAUCCCUCAGGCUCCCCACGCAGGUACUUUUAUUGAGCUAUCAUAGGAUUGCGGAAGGGGUUUGUGCCUUUUGCCAUUGUAGACCGGACUCCAUUGACCACUUAUUCUUUGGCUGUAACCUCACGGGCUCCCUUGCCCUUUUUUGGGCAUCCAAAUGCGGCCUCUCCUGGCGCAAUAGACCAUGGCAAGACAAUCUUCAUUGGGCAAUCCGUUUUAUUGGGGGUAAUACUUU
Long non-coding RNA from Syzygium oleosum, 344 nucleotides. RefSeq lists it as uncharacterized. The transcript has 2 exons. The record is from RefSeq and is a predicted model, not a curated record. NCBI's taxonomy places the organism in Eukaryota, Viridiplantae, Streptophyta, Magnoliopsida, Myrtales, Myrtaceae.